GCGCGGUUAGCUUAGUGGAAGAGCGCUACCUUGACACGGUAGAGGUCACAGGUUCGAGCCCUGUAUCGCGCACCA
This 75-nucleotide transfer RNA is filed under the name Bacillota bacterium. Its description in RNAcentral is "Firmicutes bacterium (anaerobic digester metagenome) tRNA-Val". It matches the Rfam family "tRNA". From Rfam's summary of the family: Transfer RNA (tRNA) molecules are approximately 80 nucleotides in length. RNAcentral also lists the same sequence under 2 other names. Lineage: Bacteria; Bacillati; Bacillota. The record is from RNAcentral.